Molecule: transfer RNA, 74 nt
Filed under: Candidatus Zambryskibacteria bacterium RIFCSPLOWO2_01_FULL_47_33
Lineage: Bacteria; Candidatus Zambryskiibacteriota
Description: tRNA-Trp
Rfam family: tRNA
About the family: Transfer RNA (tRNA) molecules are approximately 80 nucleotides in length. Their secondary structure includes four short double-helical elements and three loops (D, anti-codon, and T loops). Further hydrogen bonds mediate the characteristic L-shaped molecular structure. tRNAs have two regions of fundamental functional importance: the anti-codon, which is responsible for specific mRNA codon recognition, and the 3' end, to which the tRNAs corresponding amino acid is attached (by aminoacyl-tRNA synthetases). tRNAs cope with the degeneracy of the genetic code in two manners: having more than one tRNA (with a specific anti-codon) for a particular amino acid; and 'wobble' base-pairing, i.e. permitting non-standard base-pairing at the 3rd anti-codon position.
Source: RNAcentral
GGGCGAUUAGUUAAGUGGCAUAACAGCGGCCUCCAAAUCCGCUAUCGGGGGUUCGAUUCCCUCAUCGCCCGCAA